UCCGGGGGGGGCAAGCGUUGUUCGGAAUUACUGGGCGUAAAGGGCCUGUAGGCGGCCAACUAAGUCGGAUGUGAAAUCCCCAGGCUUAACCUGGGAACUGCAUCCGAUACUGGAUGGCUUGAAUUCGGGAGAGGGAUGCAGAAUUCCAGGUGUAGCGGUGAAAUGCGUAGAUAUCUGGAGGAAUACCGGUGGCGAAGGCGGCAUCCUGGACCGACAUUGACGCUGAUGAGCGAAAGCUAGGGGAGCAAACGGG
This 253-nucleotide ribosomal RNA is filed under the name uncultured bacterium. RNAcentral describes it as "partial 16S ribosomal RNA". It matches the Rfam family "Bacterial small subunit ribosomal RNA", at positions 524 to 776 of the family's 1533-position model. The record is from RNAcentral.